Long non-coding RNA from Sinocyclocheilus rhinocerous, 754 nucleotides. RefSeq lists it as uncharacterized. The transcript has 5 exons. NCBI's taxonomy places the organism in Eukaryota, Metazoa, Chordata, Actinopteri, Cypriniformes, Cyprinidae. The record is from RefSeq and is a predicted model, not a curated record.
AGUGCCAUCUGCCGGAUUAUGCACAGUGUCUCUGCCUUGACCUUUGUGUAAUCGUUCAACAAUAACAAACCCUUUCAGCUUCUAAAAAACCGCGGUAAGAGAAAUCCCUCAGAAAAUAACCCGUCGUCAGAGAAAAAAGAGCUGGCUAAGAGCCUAUGUGUCAUUUUUCUCAGUUGAGCUGAAAUGAUUGGCAGCAUUGUUCAUGAAAUUCAGAUGUUAGGGUUAUCUUCUUCUAAUUAAAGCAGACAGUGGACCGGGAUUUGUUCAGGAGCCAGACAGAAAUUUAAACGGACUGUGUAAAGCUGUAAAGAGGCUCCCGAGGGAUCUCAUUAUGAACUAUAUGAAGAGAGCCCAUCUGCACCAAGGCUUUGUCUUCAUUCUGCUGUAAAGAUGAGUUCUUGGCUGCUUGCUGUGUCAUGGCAUUUCAACACCAUCAGAAAAUCAUUACAGAUCAGAGAGGAACAGGAAGAUAGACAUGUCAGAUGUUAGACAUACAUUGUCACACAGAGUAAUGCAGCACCUCCUCAUGGUCUUCAUGGUCUUCAUGAUCUUCUGAUGCAUGCUUCUCCAGAUAGUCGGUCUAAGUGUUGGAAAAUGCUCUCCUCAGGUUGAGAUAUGGCAGAGAUGAGCUCCUCACACUCAUGAGCUGUCAGCAGCUCCACCAGGCGCUCCAGUUGGUUAUUGCUGUUGCUGCAAAGCAAGUACAGGAACUUGCUACUGCCAGUACAUACGCUGAUACAGUGCAGUGAGUAUU